Molecule: ribosomal RNA, 468 nt
Filed under: uncultured bacterium
Lineage: Bacteria
Description: partial 16S ribosomal RNA
Rfam family: Bacterial small subunit ribosomal RNA
Source: RNAcentral
GACGAACGCUGGCGGCGUGCUUAACACAUGCAAGUCGAACGGAAAGGCCCUGCUUUUGUGGGGUGCUCGAGUGGCGAACGGGUGAGUAACACGUGAGUAACCUGCCCUUGACUUUGGGAUAACUUCAGGAAACUGGGGCUAAUACCGGAUAGGAGCUCCUGCUGCAUGGUGGGGGUUGGAAAGUUUCGGCGGUUGGGGAUGGACUCGCGGCUUAUCAGCUUGUUGGUGGGGUAGUGGCUUACCAAGGCUUUGACGGGUAGCCGGCCUGAGAGGGUGACCGGCCACAUUGGGAGUGAGAUACGGCCCAGACUCCUACGGGAGGCGGCAGUGGGGAAUAUUGCACAAUGGGCGGAAGCCUGAUGCAGCAACGCCGCGUGCGGGAUGACGGCCUUCGGGUUGUAAACCGCUUUCGCCUGUGACGAAGCGUGAGUGACGGUAAUGGGUAAAGAAGCACCGGCUAACUACGUG